GCCUCAGUAGCGGCGAGUGAAGCGGCAAUAGCUCAAGUUUAGAAUCUGUGAUCGUUUCGGUCACCGAAUUGUAAUCUAAAGGGGCUAACAAAAGGGGAUGUGGAAGCAUAAGUUCCUUGGAACAGGACAUCAUAGAGGGUGAAAAUCCCGUAUGUAGCUUUCACUGAACUGAAUGUUGACCUUCUAAGAGUCGGGUUGUUUGGGAUUGCAGCCCUAAAUGGGAGAUAAACUUCUUCUAAGGCUAAAUAUCUAUGGGAAACCGAUAGCGAACAAGUACUGUGAAGGAAAGGUGAAAAGAACUUUGAAAAGAGGGUUAAAAGACUUGAAAUCGUUGAGAAGGAAGCGGUAGAAGUGGAUUCCUUGUCUAUGAAGCAAAUUAUCUAAGGCACCAACUCGGAGUGGCCUCUGUACGUCAUUGGCUAAGCUAUUCCGAUGUAAUGGCACUUUAUGGUGAUUUCAUAGACAAAGAGCAGUCUUGUGUCUCCGGUAUUGUAUUCAAUAGGCUGGAAGUUCCCGGUUUAUAAACCAAUACC
Molecule: ribosomal RNA, 533 nt
Filed under: uncultured Zygoascus
Lineage: Eukaryota; Fungi; Ascomycota; Dipodascomycetes; Dipodascales; Trichomonascaceae
Description: eukaryotic LSU rRNA
Rfam family: Eukaryotic large subunit ribosomal RNA
Source: RNAcentral